AUUACUGGUCAACUUCUUGACAGAUGGAGAGGAUCGGGAAGUGUUCGAUGUGACCCAAAGCCUCGUCCCAUUUCCAACCUCUGAUGAUGGCGGUGGCUGGAGGAUUGCAACGAUCGUGUGUGCGUCGCUGAACGCCGUUUUUCUGAUCGCUCUCGUCGUUCUAGCUGUGGCAGUCGUCAAGAUAAAGAAGAAUUCACUUGACACUUCACAUGUAUCUUUCAAAUCAUCUUCAGCAUUACACAAUAGAGCCGAUGAACAACACCGGAAUAACUCACCAAAGCUCUUAGAUAAUGCUUAGAAAAGGAAAGAAGAAGAGGGAGAGGAAGCGAGGCUAGGGGCGUCGGAGGGAAGGCGUAAUGGAUUUUUUCCUAUUUUUUAAAGAUAAUUCCCUUUGUAGUAAACACGGAUGUAUUUAUGUAGUACAUUACAUAAUAUACUAGUUGAUCAUUCUUACAUAUAUAUAUAUAUAUAUAUAUAUAUAUAUAUAUAUAUAUAUAUAUAUAUAUAUAUAUAUAUAUAUAUAUAUAUAUAUAUAUAUAUAUACAUAUAUAUACGUAUGUAUAUUUAUCAUAAUGAAAAUUGGAACUAAUUUAAUUUUGUUUCUGUGAUCUCUUAUAGUUGCUAAACAUCUACAAAACAGACACUCUAUUCCGUACACGUGGCAGAAGCCUUGUGUCUUCUGGCUGCUCAGCCUCGUGCUUCCUGCGCAAUAACUUUUUGCACUUUCACUAACAGGGCUUCUUGACUUCUGGCUGCUGAGCUUUGUGCUUCUUGCACUUUCCCUAACAGGACUUCUUGUCUUCUGGUUGCUGAGCUUUGUGCUUCUUGCACUUUCCCUAACAGGACUUCUUGUCUUCUGGCUGCUGAGCUUUGUGCUUCUUGCACUUUCCCUAACAGGGCUUCUUGACUUCUGGCAACUGAGCGCUGUGCUUCUUACACUUUCCCUUAAUUACCAUGUUUAUCAGCCUUGCUAGGAAGUCUUUUACUAUCGCAUAUAUCCAACCAAAAAAAUGACUUCUGAGUUCUGCCUGCUCAUCCUCGUGCUUCCUGCGCAAUAACUCACGAAUCUAUGACGAUAUUACGUAGUGAGUAAUCUAUUACGUCUUAUAAACACUCAAAUUUUCAAAAUACGAUCCGAACAGUUCAGAUGGUGUUAUUACUGGAAACACGUACCAGCCG
This 1179-nucleotide long non-coding RNA is filed under the name Penaeus japonicus. RNAcentral describes it as "uncharacterized LOC122249354". Lineage: Eukaryota; Metazoa; Arthropoda; Malacostraca; Decapoda; Penaeidae. The record is from RNAcentral.